CCUACGGGAGGCAGCAGUAGGGAAUAUUGCUCAAUGGGGGAAACCCUGAAGCAGCAACGCCGCGUGGAGGAUGAAGGUUUUCGGAUUGUAAACUCCUUUUGUUAGAGAAGAUAAUGACGGUAUCUAACGAAUAAGCACCGGCUAAUUCCGUGCCAGCAGCCGCGGUAAUACGGAGGGCGCAAGCGUUACUCGGAAUCACUGGGCGUAAAGAGCGCGUAGGCGGGUUAGCAAGUCAGAUGUGAAAUCCUAUGGCUUAACCGUAGAACUGCAGUUGAAACUGUCAGUCUAGAGUAUGGGAGAGGUAGGUGGAAUUCUUGGUGUAGGGGUGAAAUGCGUAGAGAUCAAGAGGAAUACUCAUUGCGAAGGCG
Molecule: ribosomal RNA, 368 nt
Filed under: uncultured bacterium
Lineage: Bacteria
Description: partial 16S ribosomal RNA
Rfam family: Bacterial small subunit ribosomal RNA
Source: RNAcentral